RNAcentral lists this ribosomal RNA (253 nucleotides) under uncultured bacterium. RNAcentral's name for it is "partial 16S ribosomal RNA". It matches the Rfam family "Bacterial small subunit ribosomal RNA", at positions 524 to 776 of the family's 1533-position model. The record is from RNAcentral.
UACGUAGGGUGCAAGCGUUAAUCGGAAUUCCUGGGCGUAAAGCGUGCGCAGGCGGUGAUGUAAGACAGAUGUGAAAUCCCCGGGCUCAACUUGGGAACUGCAUUUGUGACUGCAUCGCUGGAGUGCGGCAGAGGGGGAUGGAAUUCCGCGUGUAGCAGUGAAAUGCGUAGAUAUGCGGAGGAACACCGAUGGCGAAGGCAAUCCCCUGGGCCUGCACUGACGCUCAUGCACGAAAGCGUGGGGAGCAAACAGG